UACGGAGGAUGCGAGCGUUAUCCGGAUUUAUUGGGUUUAAAGGGUGCGCAGGCGGAUUUUUAAGUCAGCGGUAAAAUCGUGGAGCUCAACUCCAUCCAGCCGUUGAAACUGAUGAUCUUGAGUGGGCGAGAAGUAUGCGGAAUGCGCGGUGUAGCGGUGAAAUGCAUAGAUAUCGCGCAGAACUCCGAUUGCGGAGGCAGCAUGCCGGCUCCACACUGACGCUGAGGCACGAAAGCGUGGGUAUCGAACAGG
RNAcentral lists this ribosomal RNA (252 nucleotides) under uncultured Bacteroidales bacterium. RNAcentral's name for it is "partial 16S ribosomal RNA". It matches the Rfam family "Bacterial small subunit ribosomal RNA", at positions 524 to 776 of the family's 1533-position model. The record is from RNAcentral. Lineage: Bacteria; Pseudomonadati; Bacteroidota; Bacteroidia; Bacteroidales.